UUAUUAUAAACUCUUGUAAAACAUUCAUCAAUUUUAAGAAUUUUAUGAGAUAAAACUUUUAUUGUGUUCAUAAUAACAUCUAACUUGGACUUCAGAGACUUAACCAUGUUAACAUCUUUACCUCCAAUUAUCCUAAAAGUUAAAAGGAGAAUUUCCAAAUAAUAUCAAUUCAAAAGAGAAUAAUUUGCAAUCUCUUAAGUACUUAGAUGCCUUCAAAAAGAGGGAUAAUCAACUUUCUAUGAAGAAAGAUCAAGCUUUAGUAUUAAUAAGAAGACAAACUUGA
RNAcentral lists this long non-coding RNA (283 nucleotides) under Physcomitrium patens. RNAcentral describes it as "long non-coding RNA (PPAT_LNC011347)". The record is from RNAcentral. Lineage: Eukaryota; Viridiplantae; Streptophyta; Bryopsida; Funariales; Funariaceae.